CCUACGGGCGGCUGCAGUGGGGAAUAUUGGACAAUGGGGGGAACCCUGAUCCAGCCAUGCCGCGUGUGUGAAGAAGGCCCUCGGGUUGUAAAGCACUUUCAGUGAGGAAGAACGCCUGGUGGUUAAUACCCAUCAGGAAAGACAUCACUCACAGAAGAAGCACCGGCUAACUCCGUGCCAGCAGCCGCGGUAAUACGGAGGGUGCGAGCGUUAAUCGGAAUUACUGGGCGUAAAGCGCGCGUAGGUGGCUUGAUAAGCCGGUUGUGAAAGCCCCGGGCUCAACCUGGGAACGGCAUCCGGAGCUGUCAAGCUAGAGUGCAGGAGAGGAAGGUAGAAUUCCCGGUGUAGCGGUGAAAUGCGUAGAGAUCGGGAGGAAUACCAGUGGCGAAGGCGGCCUUCUGGACUGACACUGACACUGAGGUGCGAAAGCGUGGGUAGCAAACAGGAUUAGAUACCCGAGUAGUC
This 465-nucleotide ribosomal RNA is filed under the name Vreelandella stevensii. Its description in RNAcentral is "partial 16S ribosomal RNA". It matches the Rfam family "Bacterial small subunit ribosomal RNA", at positions 338 to 795 of the family's 1533-position model. Lineage: Bacteria; Pseudomonadati; Pseudomonadota; Gammaproteobacteria; Oceanospirillales; Halomonadaceae. The record is from RNAcentral.